GGAGAGCAGUACCCCCAUGGCUGCAGAAGCAUUUUCAAAGGAAAAAAUCUAUUAUAAUGAAAUCUUAUGGGCAAACCAAGAUCUGGUGUUAUGUGAAGAAGUCUUAAACAGUACUUCCUAGGACCUGGAGCUGUGGUGACUGGCAGGAAGAGAGUCCAAGACAGGCUUCUGCUUCUACUAUUGACAGGACUCAGAGACCAGAGACCAGCAGGAACACCAGCAACACAGCAGGACCCUGGCUAGAGCUGCCAGGAUGGAGAGUUUCAGGAUUCUCAGCUGUCUUGGACAACCCCCUACCUUCAAAUUAAUGACAAGGAGUCCCAGUGCGAAACAUGAUGGUCUGAAAGUGCGAGGAUCCUCAGGAAUGGACCAUCCAGGGGAUUUUCAUUAUACCAAUUGGCUGUCCUCGGACUUUCUGCUCAAGGAAAUUGGCAGGCGCUGCACUAUUUUCUCUUCUCUUUGCUGCUCUGAAGAAUGCAGCCAUGGCAGCCCUCCUCCCAAGUCCUCAAAGCCAAGGGCAACAGAGGGGUGGAGGACCUACAGCCAGUCACCCUGCGCCUGCGGCAAUGACCUCACCUGCAAAAGGUGCACAGCAAACCCCAAGGAUCGUGAACCUGCCUCAAGCAGACAAGCCCUCAUCCGGACAGGGCUUGCUGUGAAAGCCAGCUAUCUGCUUCAUUUCAUCAGGCUGCUGCCGCCCAGCACAGGAAAUUAAAAGCAUUUCAUAGAUCACGGAGUGCAGCACCAAGUGAUCCCAGACAGAAUCCAUCCUCUGCCCUCCUGCUUCUUCUGGUGCAGGAGCAGGCUCGGAGCAGUCAGGGACUGAACUUUCAAGAGGAACUGCUGGGCUUUUCUGGCCACAGUUGUCUCCAAGGCAAGAAAGGGGGCCCUAUCCUCAGAGCCAUGAAGAUGGAAGAGCUGCCCUAAUAACAAGAUGGCAGCAUGUGUGCAUGAGUGUGUGUGUGUCUAUGUCUGUGGUGUGUGUGUGUGUGUGUGUGGUGUGUGUGUGUAUGAGUUCUGGAAGAGAUGUAGGAGAGAGUGGUGGUCACCAAGGGGAAAACUGGAAUCACAAGCCAAAGGAAGACUAACUUUCUUCUUUUCAGCUUUUUGCACACUAAAGCUUUAUCCCAUGCACUGUGUUAACUAUUUGCACAAGCAGUACAUAUUUUAAAGGUGAAAUAAAAUAAGGGUAUACAUAUAGGAGACCUAAGAGGAAAGGAACAUUCAUUUUAUGAGGUACUGGAGGUUGAACCCAGGGUCUUUUUAAUUUGGAGACAGUGUUUCACUAAGUUGCCCAGGCUGAGCUCAAACUUGCAAUCUUCCUACCUCAAUCUCUCAGAGUGCUGGGAUUACAGGCGUGACCCAGAAAAUACUCUUAAAUUGAACCCUAAAGAACAAAAUGAAUCAACCAGUAACAGAGAAAAGGGAGAGUCUCAGGCAGGGGGUGCAGCUGAAGCGAAAGCUUAGAGGUGGGUGGGGAGGAAAAAGGAUCAUUUAGGAGAAAAGGCCUAAGGACAGAUCAGGGAUGUGAUUCUCAGCCCCCUCCUUCCUCCCUCAUUUGCCAGCUACUGUGGAAUCAGUUUCAGGACGCUGCAGGGAAGGUCAUCUCACUCACUCCCCUUCUGAGCUGUGCACUGGGGUACCCUGAGGUGUGAUGUCUAGGCUUUCUACUUGCUCUGUAUCCCUUCCUCUGGGUUUUAGCAAAAGCAAUCCCUUUCUUAUGUCAAAGCUUCUCCUACUCUCUCCUGUGGGAGUGACAGCCCUAAGCCACGCUACACCAGCCAAGCGUGGGGGCCAUGACCCAGUCCACAGUCUCCCUCUCCCUUGGUGGAUCUUCCUGAGCAUGGCAGACACUAGGCUCAUUCACCCCAGGGUCCAGCUGGAGGUUUCCACUAGGUCCCACUCACUGGACCUGCUCGUGCAACUUCCCUUCAGCUCCGUUCUACCUAGAAGCAUCCUGAUAGAGUCCUUUACUGAUAUUUUAGGCACCGUUUCUAUAAUUUACAAUCAAAGAUACUUAGGGAAUUUCUCUGUUCUUUGAGGGUCAAAUAAAAUUUGGCUUUGAGACCACCUAAAUGCAGCAGACGAUUCUCAUUCCUGC
This is a long non-coding RNA of Chinchilla lanigera (long-tailed chinchilla), 2101 nucleotides long. NCBI's taxonomy places the organism in Eukaryota, Metazoa, Chordata, Mammalia, Rodentia, Chinchillidae. The record is from Ensembl.